GAGCAGCAUGACGCGUGUGCUGAGACGCCUCGGGUUGUAAGCUACUUUCAGCGAGGAAGACGCCUAUCGGUUAAUACCCGGUAGGAUAGACAUCACUCGCAGAAGAAGCACCGGCUAACUCCGUGCCAGCAGCCGCGGUAAUA
This 143-nucleotide ribosomal RNA is filed under the name uncultured bacterium. RNAcentral's name for it is "partial 16S ribosomal RNA". It matches the Rfam family "Bacterial small subunit ribosomal RNA", at positions 389 to 525 of the family's 1533-position model. The record is from RNAcentral.